AUGGAUAUUAUGGUUAGGAACCAAGACCUCCUCGUACUGUCAGUCUUCUUGCUUUGGAGCUCAGGUCUAACUGAUGGGAGUGAUGUCACCCAGACCCCCAUACUGUGGAAAUAUAAGGGUGAUAAUGCAAUCAUAGACUGCAGACACACCAAAGGUGCUAGCUACUACCAGAUGUACUGGUACAGACAGCUGCCAGGAGAAACUAUGAAACUGAUCGUGUACACAACAACAACUAACAAAGAUCACGACUUUGGAGAAUUCAGUGGAGGGAAGUUCUCAGCCACCAAGACCGAGGCUCAGGAGGGGACGUUCACGGUGAAUGAUCUGGUCCCAGGAGAUCAAGGCUUGUAUUUCUGUGCCGUCAGUGAGCACAGUGAUACAGACGCAUGUGAGAGCUGAACAAAAACCCCAAUGAACUGGUGGUGACGUUAUCUCCUGUACUACACAAUGACAGAUCAUCAAAGAGCAAUGUGACGCUGUUAAACUUCUCACUUAUGUUGGAAUUGCUGAAUAUUCUGAAGACCAAGUUCAGAGGAGUCACUUAGGUUAACAAUUCAGUAUCAGUAAAUAAACUAUAACUACAGCCGGAAAUUUUGACGUAUAGAUUUUUAUUCUGCAAUGUGGAGUCAUGCCUCUGAGCCAGUAUGUCCCUAGGUACGUUUUAGCCCUGUCUCACCUCUUCAGAAACAGGACGUACAGAAUAGGAGUCUGGUAACAUACGAUUUAUAUGUCGUUGC
Non-coding RNA from Mugil cephalus (flathead mullet), 737 nucleotides. The record is from the annotation of a RefSeq genome assembly. NCBI's taxonomy places the organism in Eukaryota, Metazoa, Chordata, Actinopteri, Mugiliformes, Mugilidae.